AAUGCAGAUUGUUCAGUUAAAUUUGAGUUUCAAGUAGACAGCAAGGAAUUUCUUAGCAUAAAUAUGUCUCGUGCACUAUUUGGGAAAUACUUAUGCUAAAAAGUGAUUUGUUGUUUAUCUGAAAGUCAAAUUUAGUUGGAUAUCUUAUAUUUU
This 153-nucleotide microRNA precursor is filed under the name Mustela putorius furo (domestic ferret). RNAcentral describes it as "miRNA (ENSMPUG00000021317.1)". The stretch from base 50 to 101 matches the Rfam family "mir-1302 microRNA precursor family". The record is from RNAcentral. Lineage: Eukaryota; Metazoa; Chordata; Mammalia; Carnivora; Mustelidae.